RNAcentral lists this ribosomal RNA (497 nucleotides) under uncultured bacterium. Its description in RNAcentral is "partial 16S ribosomal RNA". It matches the Rfam family "Bacterial small subunit ribosomal RNA", at positions 28 to 507 of the family's 1533-position model. The record is from RNAcentral.
GAUGAACGCUGGCGGCGUGCCUAAUACAUGCAAGUCGAGCGAACAGAUGAGGAGCUUGCUCCUCUGACGUUAGCGGCGGACGGGUGAGUAACACGUGGAUAACCUACCUAUAAGACUGGGAUAACUUCGGGAAACCGGAGCUAAUACCGGAUAAUAUAUUGAACCGCAUGGUUCAAUAGUGAAAGACGGUUUUGCUGUCACUUAUAGAUGGAUCCGCGCCGCAUUAGCUAGUUGGUAAGGUAACGGCUUACCAAGGCGACGAUGCGUAGCCGACCUGAGAGGGUGAUCGGCCACACUGGAGCUGAGACACGGUCCAGGCUCCUGCGAGAGGCAGCAGUAGGGAAUCUUCCGCAAUGGGCGAAAGCCUGACGGAGCAACGCCGCGUGAGUGAUGAAGGUCUUCGGAUCGUAAAACUCUGUUAUUAGGGAAGAACAAAUGUGUAAGUAACUAUGCACGUCUUGACGGUACCUAAUCAGAAAGCCACGGCUAACUACGUG